This is a long non-coding RNA of Vitis riparia (riverbank grape), 951 nucleotides long. RefSeq lists it as uncharacterized. NCBI's taxonomy places the organism in Eukaryota, Viridiplantae, Streptophyta, Magnoliopsida, Vitales, Vitaceae. The transcript has 2 exons. The record is from RefSeq and is a predicted model, not a curated record.
CACGAGAGAAGAACUCAGUCUUUUCUAAUUUAUUUUUCUUGAUAAGAAAUUCUCUUCAAGAUCAAUCUCAUGGAUUAAGUAUAUAUAUAGAGAGGACGAAACGCAGCCUAAAUUUUCAUCUGCAAUUCUCCAUUGCCACAAACCCACUCCGGCAGGUGUAUCGGAACUGGCUCACACAGAAGCAGCGCUGGAGGAGUCGAGCAAAAGGGUGGUGGGAGCCCUGUAUGAAGCCUUGAGCACUAGAGACGUUGAAACGGUGCACCAACUCCUGGCACCGGACCUCGAAUGGUGGUUCCAUGGUCCGCCCAACCACCAGCAUUUGAUGCAACUUCUCACCGGCUCAUCAUCCUCCGACGAUCCCUUCCACUUCGACCCCGUCUCCAUAGUGGCGUUCGGAUCAACUGUCCUCGUCGAGGGCUACGAGGAGCGGCGGUCGGUGGCGUGGGUGCACGCGUGGGUGGUGACUGAUGGGAUAAUUACCCAAGUGAGGGAGUACUUCAAUACUUCGGUUACAGUCACGCGACUGAGCAACACAGACAAGGCGGGGGAGGGGCCGUCGACUUCUGCGACGGCGGCUCGGUCAGUUCCUUGUACGUGUGUUUGGCAGAGCAAGGUGUGUGAGAGCAUGGGGAAGUCAGUUCCAGGACUGCUUUUGGCUCUACAGUGAAUCGGAAUUAAUAAAAAAAUGUUGAGGAAAGAGUAGUGGAGAAUAAUAAUGGACCAACCAAACAAAGCAUAAAAAUGGAAGCUUUUGUAAUAAAGAAAUGAAAGCCAAUCUUAAUCUCAAGAUCAUCAAAUGUCCAAGGCCACCUGCAGAAUGUGUGAAACAUGACAAAGCCCAAAAGGCAAUGCAGUGCGGUCCCAUGCCAGCACAACCAUAUUGGAGCUGCCACCCUUCUCAAAUAUAUCACAUUGUAUGUAUUAUAAAUAAAUUAGUUAAUGUUUCUGUUG